Long non-coding RNA from Mus musculus (house mouse), 16231 nucleotides. RefSeq annotates it as predicted gene 14377. The transcript has 3 exons. NCBI's taxonomy places the organism in Eukaryota, Metazoa, Chordata, Mammalia, Rodentia, Muridae. The record is from RefSeq and is a predicted model, not a curated record.
GAAGAAAGUUUGGAAGUUUGGAGUGCAAAGGCGAGGUUAUACACAGUGCGAUCUUAUUGGCCUUAAGCUGUAAGAAAAGGUAAUGUGCCGAGGAGAAGGUAGAGUGUGCCUUAUGAAGAGGGGGUGGUGUUGCACACGGGUAGUGUGAUGAUCUGAUGUGCAGUAAGAGUUAACAGCAGUUUUUGUGUACUUCUUGAGAAAGGGUGCCAGUGUGUGGCCCUGCUGGCCUAGAACUCUCUAUGUAGACUAGGCUGACCUUGAACUCAGGGAUUCACUUGUCUCUGCCUUCCAAGGGCUUAGAUCAAAGCCAUGUGCCAUCAUGUCAGUUUUGGGGGGAGGAGAGGGAGAAGAGAGGUAAUUUUAUUUAUAUGUCUUAAAUUCCUGUCUAUUUAUCUAUCAACAUAUUUGUAGCAAGAAAGACAUUCUUAAAAAGAAACAAAAAAUUCUGAGUUCAGGUCUUACGAAUCCAAGUUAGUACUCUCAAGUUUCAGGCUCUGACUCAAUCCACACUAAGAAGUGUGGGAAUAUAGAGAAUGCCAGUGCACAUAGCUCUACCCCUAACAUAACAGCCACUCAGAAGGCAGGCAAGCCCCUCUGAGAACCUGUGGCCAUUACAUCUGCAUAUAGGAAAUGGUAGGCUAACUGUAUAUGAUGGGGUCCUGAAUGGAGAUCUCAGAGACAGAGGUGGAAGCUUUAAACAUUGUUUUCCCUUUGAAACAGAGUCUCAGGCAUUACAGGUUGGCUGCAAACUUCGGGUGUGGCUGAGGAUGACCUUGAAGCUGAGGAUGACUUUGAACUUCUAAUCUUCCUGCUUCUACCUCUCAAGUGCUGGGGUGGUAGACAGGCGUCAUUGUACCUGAUUUUAUAUGAUGAUGGGAUCAAGUCCAGGCCUUUGUGCAAGCUAAGGAGGCAUUCUAUUAGCUGAUCCAUAUAGCUUUAGCCCAAGGCUCUGCAUUUAAAGAAAAAGUCUCUGGGGGUUCUGAUGAACCAAAUGAUGAGAUUUACCAGGUGCCAGGCAGAUAUAUGUCGUUCAGAGCAGAGUUUAUGUCAAGUCACUUUCUGAGGCCAGUUAGGUGACUCAGUGUGUUAGGAUCCUUACCAUACAACUUGGUAACCUGAGUUUGAUCCCUGGAACCUACAUAAAGGUGGAAGGAGAGAAUCAAUAUGAUGAAGUUGUCCUCUGAUCGUCACAUGUGUCAUCUCUCUCCCUCCCACCCCCUCACACAUACACACUAAUGAUAAUAUGAAAAUAUAAAAAAAAAAACUGGGGACCAAAAAGAUGGCUUAGUGGCUAAGAACUUUCUUUCAGUUCCCAGCACCUACAUUAGGAGGCUCACAAUUACCUGUAAUUCUAGCUACAGAUCUGAUAUGUAUACUUCUGGGCUCUGUAGGCACCACAUGCAUGAAUGUUAAUAUGUAUACACACAUGCAUAAAAGAAAACAUAAAAUCUUUUUUACAAUUAAAAAAUUAUUUUCUGGACAGAAACGAUCAGAUUAGACAUACCAUCAAACAUACACUGUACUGUGCAUACAAUCUGGAGGGGGUUCCUUAGACCUCCCAUUAAGAAGCCUCAAUCCCUGAUAGAAAGUGGUAGAAACUGCAGAUAUAAAGAAUGACGCUGGGAUCCCAGCCCUGACUUUAGCCUCUGCUCAUCUGUGUGCGAGUCCAGAGCAGACUUAUUUACAUGCCAAGAGCUCAGACCACAAGGGUUUGCUUCCCUGCUAUUCAAUUAAGGAUUUGCUGUGUGCCUACACUGCCAAGAACUGGGCCAGGCUCUGGGAAUUUAGCAGUGAACAAGCAGCCCUGCCUAUGAAGAUGCCCGGGUCCUGGCCCAUUCGUUCUCUUGGCUCUUGCCCAUCUUCUAGAGAUAAUGCUACGUCUUAUUGUCCUGUGCUCCCUCUCAGUCACUAUCAUGUUCUGGGAAAGGUGACAUCACCUCCCUGGGCUGGCUGUGCUGUUCCCAAAGUAGUUGCAGUGACCUCUCUAUGACAGAUGUUAUCAUUAGGUCCCAGUUGGCAGGGAGAGGUAGAUGAUUGUAUGGAGGGUUAGCGUCAGUAGUUCGCAGUAAGAUAGCUGCUUUGCUAUACAUGAAACCACCACUCAGAGGUUGCUUGCCUACAGGCGAUUUGAUAUGAGGCUCUUGAAAGGCUUGCCUCGAGUGGAGUGAUAGCGAUUUUUCCAGCGGAGGAAAUAUAGCCUUAGAGAAGUUAAACACCUUUUCUGAGUAAAUGCAGACCUGAGAUUUGAACCCAGAGCUUCCUGACAAUAAGGGAGGGUUUCUUUUUGCCAUAUGACUUCUUAGGAAAGGGUCAUGUGGGAACCUCUAACCCUAUCAGCUGUCCUGGGAUGCGGUGCAGUUUUUGUGCAUGCUAUUUGGCAGAUGGAUCCUGGGAUAUUGAGUGGUAUGGAGGGAGGGGGAAGAGUGACUGAGAGGCAGGAUCAGUAACCCAGGCCGAAACUUGUGAGAUCCAGGGUAAAGAGUGAAGGCAUAUGGGCCUCAGGUGUCAUCUGGAGCAUGUGAGGACACGCUGAUCUCUCUUGUACCCCAGCUCUCCAAUCACACCAUUCAGUUCUGCAGUUCCACCGCCUGGGGGCUGGUGCUGUGGAGCCGGAGAACCACAGAGACUCCCCAGUGACUCAUCUGCCUGCUUCCAGCAGCAGCCCACCAUGACUGGAGCUGAAGCCUGCCUGUUCCUGUUUAUGUGUGGAGGGAGACGGUCCCAUUCAGCUUUUCUUCUUUCUUAGAGUGGCCAGGAGUGACUGCCCAGCCAAGGGCGGUCUACUGUUCACAGGAGACCACUGGCCACUUGGGCGUGGCACUUAAUCCUGUUCAGGUUUCCAAAGUCAUUGACUAUCGAGCCAGGGAGGCUUAUCUGGCUCAGCCUGCUAAUUUCUCUGAAUAGACUGAGGGACAACUUGGGGACAUGGGUUGGCUAAGGUCACUAGGUAGCCAAGUGGCAGAGCAUGGGGGUUGUCUGCUACCCCAAGCAUUAUGAACAGACACCCUCCAUCCCUUUAAGACAGCAUUUCCUACAGUCCAAGCUGGCUUUGAACUCCUCAUGUCGCCAAGGAUGGUCUUUGACACCUGACCUUCCUAGCCCCACUUCCUGAAUUCUGGGAUUACAGAUGGGAGCCACCAUGCUGAGCUUCUGGGAACAGACUGAGUGUUUACCACAAGCUGGGGCAGCUCCUAGAGUAUUGAUUCUCAACCCCUCCUAACAACUUAGGAAAUAGAGUCAAGUGUGUACAUGUGUAUGCGCGCAUGUGUGUGUGCGCAUGUGUGUGUGUGCGCGAGUGUGUGUGUGUAUGUGUGUAUGUAUAUGUGUGUGUGUACACUCCCGCAUGCCAGUGAAGGCCAGCAGGGUUCUAGGAGCACCAGGAGUCCUGGUGAAAAAAAAAAUUCUGGUUCCUCUCUGCAAAGGCAAUGGGCAGUAGACACAGUAUUUGGGAGUGUGUAUUGGCUCCUGACAUCUCUGCUCCAUCAGUCCUGAUAGCCAAGAUCGAGAUCCACAAAAGGUGAAGCAGGACAAGUGCCUGGGGAGGGAGCAAGGCUCUGCUGGAUAAUAAACUGGCUGAUGGUAGGCCUGCGUCUUAUAUUUGUGUGCACUAUGUAGAUGCCAGAGGCCAACCUCUGGUGUUCCUCAGGUGCUGUCUAUCUUAUUUUAGAGGCAAGGUCUCACUGAUUAGUCUAUAUUGGCUAGCCAGUGAGCUCCGUGGACCCUCCUGUCUCUGCUUCCCCCAGGAGUGGGGUGGUAGAGAUUAUAAGCACCCGAUGCCAUAUUUUUUAAAUUUGUUUUUGUGAUGCUAGGGAUCCAAACUCAGGCCUUUGUACUUACACAACCAGCAUUUUCCAGAGUGAGCCAUCUCUCCAGCCCCACCACCCACACCUUAUUCAUCUCUCUGUUUCUUCAGCAGGCAGGACGGGGUAGAACAGGAAAACUAUUUUCAGCGUGAGAAGAUUCUGGACCAGAAUGCAGGUGCUCACCAUUUUCAGCCCCGUGACUUGGGCAAGGUGCAGAACCUCUCUGUGGUCGUUUGAACAAGAGUAAAUCUUCCACAGCCCCUUCACCAACAGGCGUUGGUCUCUGCCCCCAUACCAGGCAGAAGAGAUGCCACAUGCAGGAUUGCCAGGCUGGAAAUGGAAAUCCAACGUGUGUUUGCUGGCUUCUUGUAUGAAAUUUGGCUACCUGGUGAGGAGAGACUCUGGUGACCUCUUUACAAGCACUAAGUCCUCUAAUGGCUGCAUGGCAGAGGUAUCGGGACUGUUCUUUUACAGUUCAGAAAAAAGAAAGAUGUCCAAGAGGAAGGGACCUGCCCAAAGCCAUCGUAUGGAUGGAAGGGUCAGGGCACAGAUCUAGGAGGCCUGGUGACAUCGUCAGUCUUCUCAUUCUGGCUCUGUUACCUACCCUAGGCUGCUACUGCAUUUGCCUCUCUAGGUGGGUCCUCUCUAGGCACAGUCAAUCAUGUUUGGUGGGUGGGCUUUUCCAGUUAGGAAGACUCUUAAAAGUCGGGCCAGGGCCAAGGUGAUGGGAGGGAUUUGGAGGUCAAGGGUACACACUGCUUAGUCUGCUGUGGACACAUGGACUGAUCACUGCUCACAGACAGGAGAGAGUCUGCUCUUUAGAAGGGGGACUGAUGGGGGACUGUGUCUGGAAACUCAAGCUAGGCAGACCUCCAGGAAACUUGAGGAAGUCCUGAGGCUGAAGCCAGUUUGUCUUCUGGACAGGCAGCUUCUGGUAGUAGCUAGAAGCCUGAAGAUUCAGAGUCCUACUGAUUGAGGACUCUAAAUCUUCACUAGCUUGGUCGUUUACUACAUGUGUGACCCUGGAUAAGCACAGUGACUGCAUGACAGUCUGAACUUAGUUCUCCUCUAGAAAAUGGUUGUGCAAACAUUAUCUCAUAGGACUUUUAGGCUACCAUGAGGUAAACACAUACACACGCACAGCCUGGUAUCUAGCAGAUCAUGAAUGCUCAGUAGAUGGUAGCCAGCAGUAAGAGAUGAGGUGGGCGAGAGGUGGGGUAGGGAGGCCAGCUGAGGUUAAGGACUUCCUGUUCAUGGGCCAGCUGAGCCUCCAGGAGGACAAUGAGCACCCCACCUGGAUGUGGGCUGGGGCUGUGAGACUGCUGGCUGAGAGCUGGGGUCAGUGAGUAGAACGGGCCUGGACGGGGGUUUAGGGAAACAGGGAGGCUUUGUCUCUGCCAGUUAAUUAAAUCUAGAAUGCUAAACAAAAUGCAACUCAAGUAUGCUUUGGACAGGAUAUAAUGGAAUGGUUCCGUGUGAAACUACAGACAGCUCUGCAGCUGCUCACAAAGGCCGAGCACUUCGUGCUUCUCUGGAGUGGAGGCUCUAAACUAUGAGGGUGAAAAGCUUCAGUGAGACUCUAUGGGUGCAUUCCCUGUGCCAGCCACCAUGCUGAGAAACAAGGGAACAGACAUCGGAUACCCUGGGGUGAUGGGGUCCCAGGAACCCUAAGGGCCUGAGACCUAAGCACGAAGACCCACGGAAGAUGAGCGUUUUCUCAUUUGACCUUCUCAUUUCCCUGAUGAAGAACUGAAGCUCCAGGGUAUAAGAGUCUUUCUGUUUUAUUUUUGAGACAGGGUCCCAUAUAGCUUAAGUGGCCUUGAACUCACUAUGUAGCUGAGGAUGACCUUGAACUCUGGAUUUGCCCACCUUUAUCUCCUUAGUGUUGGGAUUACAGGUGUGCACCACCACCUCCUGGUUCUGAGGUUUGCUCCUAAAAGUCUCUCAUGUUGCUCCCUCAUUAGUAAGAUAGCAAAGAGGUUCUACAGGGGGCCUCCUGAGAGUCGGUGGCCUAAGACUCACAGCAGUGGCAGGCCAUGUCCUAGCUUGGAGUUCUUCAGCAGUUUUGGCUAAAUGACCUCAGAAAUCCAAAUCCAUGGCUGUCUAUUAUUUUUUUCUUAGGAUAAAGGACAGAUGUCCUAGUCAUGGCCAGUAGGAAUGGUCUAGCACCUCCGGGCUCCUGUGCAUCUCUUAAGGCUCCAUUUACAAUGCCUGCCUUCAGGUUGUCUGUUGAACUGGUCUGAAACCAGAGGGUAUGCUCCAAGAUGCAAAGCUCAAAGAAAAUUGUACGUAGUCUCUGAAUAGUCUAGUUUGCUUUAUACUGCAGUGAUAAACACUAUGACCAGAAACAAUUCAAGGAGGAGAGGGUUUAUUUCAUCUUACGGUUUACAGUCCCUUAUGGAUGGAGGUCAAGGCAGGAACCUGGAAGCAGAAGCUAAAGCAGGUUUCACAGGUACUGUAUGGGGGCAUCCUGAAGGACUGAUAGUAUUGCUGCUGCUUAUUGGCUUGCUCCCGUGGCUUACUUACUCUGUUCUCUUAUACAGUCUAAGAUCACCUGCCUUGGGGUGGUACCACCCACAGUGGGCUGGGUCCUUCCACAGUAAUCAUUGAUCAAACUGCCCUACGGAUUUGCCUACAGACAAUCUGAUGGAGACAGUCUCUCAAUUGAGAUUUCCUCUUUUCAGAUGACUGAUUCUAGCCUGUGUCAAGUUGACAACAAACAAACAAAUAAACAACCCCAUCACAGUGAGGGAGGAGUAAUGUCAUAUUUCUCUCCUGUGUGAUUGAUGAGAAGAGUGAGGUAAGAGAUGUGGCUGCAUGCCCAUUAUUAGAGGGGAAGAAAGGCCAGGUAUUCAGGGACAUAAAGAGAGCAUUUGCAUCUAUUAGGAGCAAAAUAUCAAGGAACUUAGACUCAUGGAUAAUACUGAGUAACAAAUCGAGAUCCAACACAGUGCAGGAACAACUUGACUUAGGACUGAGUUACUGCCCAUGAAGCUCAGUACAAGUUGAAACCAUCCUACGUAGACAUGUUUUUAUCCCACCUGACCUGCUGAAAAGCAAGCUUAGCAAUCAGGCGGAACGUCCGUGAUUUACCCUGCUGAUCUGACUGACCAGAAAGAAGCCUCAGAUCAUCGUUCCUGCCCAGAGCCCUGUUAAGAGUAGCGCACUGUAUGUUGCUAGCAUGGGAGAGGAUCCAAAUGUGAGGUUCUGUUUCUUCUGCUUCACCUUCACCUUCAAGUCAGAAAGAACUUUAGUUCCAACCAUUGUAAGACACGGAUUGUCUAUUCAAUAUACACAAUUUGAAAAUAGAGAAUGAAAUGUUGAAGUUCUUCAGCAAGGGCAGGAAUAAGAAUGAAUGUUAGACACAUGAGCUAUGUAUAGAGGGCACAGCAGAGAGCAAAGGAAGCAAGUGCAGGAAGCCAGACAGGGGCCUCAUGUGGACCACUGAAGAAGCAUGGCCUGCCUUGCUGGAAGCUCUCAAUACCCUCCCCACCUCCAAGGAAACCAGAAACCAAACCACUGAACUAGAAAUUGGUCCGGUGUCUAAAGAGAAAGACAGGACAGACAGGGCCUUUUGUUCUGUCUCCUAAGUCUGGGGGAGCUGGAGAGAUCCUGCUUGGGAAUCAACACCUCCCAGAAGGAAAGGCUCAUGGAUCUGGUUGCAGCAUAGAUGAUUGUCAAGGAGCCUUUGAAUCUCCCUUUACCUGAGUGGGCUCGCCAACAUGACCUCUGAGUCAUUUUGUCGGUUUUCUACAAGGAAACAGGAUGCCCUGGUUUUUUUUCUGGUCAGCUGUCUCUACAGAGGUCUCAUAGGAUUAACCAGCCCUUAUUCAUGGACUUGGGUGAGUCCCAGGUUUGGGGUCUGUCAACAAUGCAAGCAGGGGUAAGGGUGCCCUCCAACCUACAACUACCAUUUAAUUAGCAUUUUGGGAUGGUUCAUUGUUAUAUCCUAAGACUCUGUCUCUUUGAAUUAUAAGGAUUUAACUGUGUUAAAAGAUGGACAUUUUAUAUUCAUGGUUUAAGACUGAUGGCACACUAGCCCAUAUAUACAAUUAUAUAGAAUUUAACUUGCAAAUUGAACAAUGAAAGAUACAAAGAAGGAAGCAUACUGAAAUAUUCUAGUGGGUUGAAAAUGAAGCUGGAUGGAGGGUGAUAGUUACAUUAAGCUUUACUAAAAGCUUUUCAAAUUUAAUUAUUCAUCUUUUAAGCAAUAUAGUAGACAGCCCCCAAGGUGGCCCUCAAUGAUCCCACCUCCUGGUAUUCAUAACCCUGUGCAGUCUCUCCCACAUGAUAACCAUGUUAGGCUCUGUGGCCAAAAGCACACAGCAGAAGUGAAGGCAUAACACUUCUAUGAUUAGGUUAGAAGAGACUGUGACUUCCAUCUGGGGUGCUCUCUCCUGCAUGGCAUGCUCUCUGAAGUCACCCACACUGGGGGAACCAGUGUCUUAUUGGGUCGCUAUGGAAGGGUCUGCUUGGAGAGGAACUGAGACCAACAGGCUGCAGGAAUAGGAGGCAUGUUAACAGCUGUGGGUGAAUUUAGAUUAAAGCAGGUGUUUGGCUUCAGCUAAGUUUUGAGAUUACUGUACAAUGACUAACAUAUUGAGAUGUUCUGAAAGGCUAAGCCAGAACCAUAAGCCCUUUAAAUCAUCCCUGGACUCCUGAGUAAAAAACACAGUAAGAUAAUGAAUGUUUAAAGCUGUAAAGUUUUUGGUAACUUGUGCAACAAAAUUUGCCUAACACAGGCAGCCUUACCCCUUUCUGAGAUGACAGACUUCCUGAGAUGACAACAUGCUGGACUCACAUCCUCUUGGCUGGGUGUGGCUAUGGUGGGUGUGGCUAUGGUGGGUGUGGCUAUAGUGUGCCUUGCUGCUGGGCUCUAGGACCAUUGGUGUGGGCUGGUAGAGGGAGGAACUGGGUUAGGUGGACAGAAGAAGUGCAGUCCCAAAUGGCCUUGUUUGUAAUGGAGAAAUGGUCUCUUAAAAAUUUAUAUUUUUAAUUAAGUAAGUGCCUUUUUUUGAAUGUAUGUUUGCCAUGGCAUGUGUGUGGAAGCCGGAGGGCACCUUGCAGGAGUGGGUCUUUCUUUCUACCAUGUAGUUCUCAGGGAUUGAAUUUAGGUCAUGAGAUUUAGUAGCAAGCACCUUAAUCUGACAAUCUCUCUUGCUGGGUCAGAAAUGGCUUGUUUUAAGGAAGGUGAUAAUCAACUGGAAUUUGGCAAAAAACAAAACAAAACAAAACAAAACACAAAAAACAAAACCAAAAACCAAUCUGUCUUAACAGUCACAGUCAGCCUCAGCCUGAGUGGGGUGGGCCGAUGUUUAGAGAUGUGAAAUGAUUUGUUCAGGAUCCCAAGCUUUGAAAGGAAGGGCUCAGAUUCAUAUCCGGGUCUGAAUCUAACAAUAGAAAGCAGAUAAAGUGAAUAGACUCUGGUUUACAAGGUCCAUGCACGUACCAGCUCACUGUGGCCUCACAACUGCUGUGGGAAGACCAACUUCCCCACUCUCCAGUGCAGGAGAGUGACCUGAGGGCUGGAGUGGUUGGUGCAGGGACUUGUCCUGGUCCAGCUAUGAGAGUGACGCCAGGCACUUGGGCAGAUGUGCUCAGCACUGCCAUUACACCAGGAGAAUGGCUCUUAGUUUGCUUAUGUUUAAAAGACUGCUUUCUUUCCUCUUUGACUAGGUAUCCCUCUCACAAGUGAGGGGUCCAUGAAGCCAAGAAGACAUUUGUUUCCCCCUUUCUACCCACAUCCAGAGCUUCUCUGUGUGUCCUGGCCUGAGUCUGGCUGUUGAGUAUGGUGUUCUCUCUUCUUGUUUCCUAUAAGCAACAAACUGCUCUGUGCACUUCUACUUUGCAGAAGGUGUGUUUGGAGCUCAGAUGCAUGGGCCAGAGUGCCCCUGCGCAUAAGUGCAUGUGAGCAUCCUUAUGGUGGAUAGAGCCAGCUAGGCUAGUUUUGGUUUUCUCCAAACCUUGAAUCUUAAUGCAGAAUGACAAGGAGUCAUAAUUAGCUCCUGGCUUAACUUAUGAACCUGGCUUUCCAACUCCUUACAGAUGAAUAUUGUCCAGAUAGAAGGAUGUAAAAUAUUCCAUUUCAAAACAUAUUGGCUCUAUUUCCAACUUUAAUUUAUUUUGGUAUAGCACACAGUGGCCUAACAAGUGUUGGAGAGGAGUCUGCACACAGCCGUGCUUUUUACAAGCAAGUAGAAAAGCCAAAGACUUAAGAUAGGCAGAAGUGCGGUGUUGAUAUAAGGAAAGGCUUGGAAAAACAAUGGGGGUAGGAAAUGGGAGAAAGGAAUUGAUAUUUAAGAAAGAAACCAGUGUAAGAGGAGCAGAGGAGAUGAUGAAGGACGCCAUGGCAGAUGAAGGUGGUGUAGAUUCUUGAACUUGGUCCAUCAAGAGGAAACAUGUUUCUUCCUUUACUUUCGUCUGGGCUGAGAGUAUGGCUAGCUCUGAUCAGUAAAUCAAAAUAAUACUAUAGUUUCUGAGGCUUAGGAAAUAUGAAGCACCAGUUUCUACCCUCUUGGGGUGUUCUAUCUUAGAAGUCAGCUGCUAUAUGAGAAGUCCACGUACUCGCAACUACCAUGCUGUGAGGUAACCCAGGCUAACUAAAGAGAGAAUGAAGCCAAGUGGCAGAGACGGAGGCACCAGGUGCAUACGAAAAGUUUUCUCUCGGACAUUAUUUCCCUGGUCAGCAGCAGGUGAGCGCAGCCCAGUGGAUUACCUCAGCUAAUGUGGAACAGAAGAACCCCUGGCGGAUUCUUGCCUGAUCCUUUAGCUUUUGAGCGGGUUAAGAUGGUCUCUGUUUGAAGCCACUAAGUUUUGAGACAGUUUAUAAGGCAGUGAUAGGCUGAGAUCUGUAAAGAAGAAAUGAGCCCAAGUCAAAGGACAAGGUUGAAAGGGCGCGCUUUACGAGGAGGUUAUAAAGAAUAUAUUGAGAGCUAUGGUGACUGGAUAAAAAAGGAGAGCAUCUGUCCCCACGUGUCUUAGGAAUGGAAUGAAUUCUCACCUGUCUCAGUGGGCUUUGGCAUCAACCUUUGUGAAGGCAGCAGCCGCUGAGACUCUUUUUUAGUGUCUCUGCACACCCAGACAACUCCCUACAACAUCAUAGCCAUGUCCACCUCUGUGAAGCUAACAGGGCAGAGGUUGUUCUCUUGCCAGUUGUUGGUCCCUUUCCUAUUUGAUUUACAACAGUACUCUUGUCUGAGGCUACAUUGGCUCUGUGAGCUCUCAGACCUGUGGUGGACAGUCAUGGAAGCUAUGCUGCUGAAGGCCUGGUCAGAACUGGAAGUUUGAGCCCUGGAGCAGGCUUAGAAAAAAUGAAAGAUUAAUAUUUUUAUUUUUUCUGUUCAUGCUCCAUAUUAUGGAAUGACUACCAUCGUUAUUAGCUACCGUUUAUGGAAUACUGUGCAACAAACACUUUCGAUCUAUUAAGUCAUUCAUUAACUUAACCUUACAUCUUAUAUCUAUCACCAUUUGUAGUUGAGAGAAUAGACAUUUGAGGUCAACUCAGAUGAUCUACCUAAGGCCAUGGUGCCAGUUAGUGACAGAGCUAAAACAUGAACCCAGGUCUGUCUACCUCCCCAAAGCACUUCAAGGCUCAUCCUCUUGGGUUCCUGCUCUCACUUCUGCCUUGGUGUCAGGAAAUAGUUAAGAUCCACCACUGUUGACUGGUGGAUACUUGGCUAAGGCCUCUUCUCAAGGCAAUGAUAUUAUAAAAUGUCACUUCAUUAGUGUCUUAGCACAUCCUAACAGUGCUUUGUUUAUAAUGGCCCAAAGGCUCAAAUUAUCAGUCAGUGUAAACAUCUCUAAAUGCAUUAGAAGUUCUAAAUGAAAACAGAAGCAUCAAUGUAGUAAAGGAAUAAAAACCAGCAGAAAGGGGCUAGGGGUCACUGCAGAGUUAGGAUAAGCAAGCCUUCAUGAGUACAGGUCUCAAUCUUCUCUAUUCCAUAAAAUGGCACCCAGGAUAAGCAAUUGCUUCUUGUUGAGGCCAAGAUUGCUUCCCUGGGUUCAGACAAUAAUCCACUGAACACUAGUCAGUCUACAUAUAGAGUACUAUGCCUAGUGCUGGGCUGGGACCUGCCUUCAAGUUAUCAAGACUGAAGAUGGAAGCAGGGCUCAUAAGCUACCCGCCCAAGAAGUCAUCUCUGACCCUACCCAAAGGACAAAUUCUAGGCCUUCACUGUACACUUGAAACCUUGUGUGAAUAUCAAACACUUAACUCUUAGGGUAGCUGGGACGAUCAUGACUCUAAUCAGCUAUAGGGGCUCUCUGGGGUACCUUGGUCUCAAGAGCAAUGUCAUUCUUAGAUGUGGGACUUGCAUUUCCUCUCAUUAGGCCAUACCAUUCUUUUAGGGCAAUAAUUUACAAGGUCCAGGUGCCCAUGCACCUACCUGGUGUCCAUGCCUUCUUCUCAGGCAGUACUCUGAUAAUGAGGUCUUCAGAAUUCCCUUUUAUCAUGACCUGAUGCCUAUAUGAUUCCCCCCCCCCCCCGGCCUUAGGAGCAUCAUUUUGAGGGUACAUACUAAUUGAGGUGAAUUGUGGAUCAUGAUUAGUUAUACAGUGUGAUGUGCCUAUGUGCAUACAUGCAAGGGCCCUUGCAGUAAGAGAUUGGCCGGGAGGUGGCAUACCAUUAAAGACCUCCCUUGUAAAAUUCAGGAGUCAGCUUGUCCAUGAGUCUGCUCAUUGGAGACACUGAAAGCGAGACUUAAUGAUGUCACUUGAUAGUGUGGCCUGCUCAUCACUAAUGUGGCGUCAGCAUUUUCUACCUCCUGUGUACCCAAAGGAAGCGGUUGGAUUUGAGGCUAGGGCCAUGGCAAUGCUGGCUGGGGGAAGAACAGAGCCCCCAGCAUCAACACGGUUAUUUGCUUUGGUGUUCAUGCAAAUGUGAACACCUACAUGCCCAAGAGCAGGAAGUGUGGGUUUGCAUGUACCAAUGCAUUUGGGUGACUGCGAGCAAGGAAAGCCAGCAUGCGAGGGGAGUGGGAGAGAGGAGAGUGACCACCUAAAAAGAAGUGUGCGUGUUGGGGGGAAGAAAAGAUGUCUGUGCAAGCAUGGAGUGACAGGUCUACACCAAGUAUCAACCAUGGUCCCUGCAAUCAAGAGUGCUAAAUGGCAGGGGAAGAGGGGAUGCAGGGGGAAGGAGUGUGCUUUCUGAUCUUGGUGCACAUAUGUGAGGUCAGGGUGCAGUCCCAGGAGAGACCCAGAGAGAGUGAGAGGGCUGGUAUGUCUUUUAGUUGCCAGGGAGCUUAUGAAGUGGAUAAAGGCAGAUGUCACUGCAGAGCUGAGCAAGCUGAGCAUGCGAGAGGAAGGAGACAUGCAGGUGUGUAUGUCCUCCGGAGGUGCGUGUCCACCCCCACAGGGCCCUGUGAGUCUAAGGUGGGCCACGUGCUCGGGCGACUGUGUGGGCAUGUGCGUGUGUGUAUGGGAGCAUGCGGCUGUGUCAAAUGAGAACAAACACAAAGUGUGUGAGCGCACGUGGGAGUUGCCCUGGAGGGUGUGAGCAGCCUACCCGCUUUGAAGGCAGCUGUGGGCUUCCUGGAUUGCUUGUGAUGCCUAAAGACAUCUUCACUCCAGGGAACGCUAUCUAAGAGGUCUAUAUGACCUGCCUCAUGCCGGCUCAGGUCCGGGUGACCGAGGCUCUGAGUGUUGGCCGUGUCAUCCCACUCUGAAGUUUGUGUGGGAAUGGAUGAGUCACCCAGCCUGGCUGGCCCUCACUCUGCCUGUAUCUUGCCCAGCAGGGAAGGCAGUAGGGAGGGAGAGAGACUACUUAGGGCUGUAUUCUUAUACUGCUAUUAUCAUUAUGCAAUUGCUCACAGUGUCUAUGGGUUCUUCGGAGGCCCAGCACCCCAGUGCUCUUGGCCUCUGUACAUUCAUCUGUUUUAUGUCCAGGUUGCCAUUUAGGUCAGCAAAUCUGGAUGACCAGCCUUUGUGGCAAUAGAUUUCACACCAGGAUCAGCGCCACACAAUCACAGUGCUAAACCACCUUCCAGUUCUUCCCCACCUCCCUCUGCUUCGCUUUCAUCUUUUUCUACGGUCAUUCCACUGUUGGCCCAUGGUUCCCCCUCCCUACGAGUUGCCUAUCUUCCCUCUACAGUGGAUACUUAUGGAUGAUCUCAGCUCUUUAUUAAUCCACCGAGCCAUCCAACAAUCCUGUAUGGCACCAAAGAUUAAUCUUUUAAAAAUGUUUUAUUUUCUUGAUUUAAAACAUUAUUUUAUGUGCAUUGCGAUUUUGCUUACAUGUCUGUCUCUGGGAGGGUGUUGGGGCCCUUAGAGGUGAGGUCACAGACAUCUAUGAGCUGCCAAGUGGAUUCUGGAAAAUGACCCCAGUUCCUCUGGAAAAGCAGCCAGUGCUCUUAGCUGCUGAGCUAUCUCUCUAGCCCUGCAAAGAUUAAUCUUGACACUUUAUAGACAGCAGAUCCAGGAAGGUGAAGUUAUUAACUUCUCUGAUUAGUGACUGAGACAGAUUUAAGACCAGAAUCUCACUCUUUUUUCCCUUAUAGUAAUUGAUUUAAUGUAUAUGGGUUUUUGUUUGCAUGUACGUCUCGACACUACAUGCCUGCAGAGUUCACGGAGUAACUGGAGGCACAGACCAUGUGUGAGCCUCCAUGUGAAUACUGGGAUUGAACCUGGACCCUCUGGAAGAAUAGCCAGUGCUCUUAUCAGCCUCUCUGCUGUGGCUCUGCCCCAUUUUCCAGAAUUGGCCCAGCACAGAACCCGUCCACGAACCUUCAUUAAGCACUUGAAUGCCUCCAGUGAUGGGGCACUCAUUUCUCUCCUCUGGAAUCAUCAGCUCGACGACUGGACCACUCUGAAAGUCAGGAAGCUAAGUUCUUCACCCCGUGGACCCCCAUCUUUCUUGCCUACAUGUUGGACUUAUGCUAUCACACUAAAAUAUGAGGGAUGGAUCUGUCACCCCACCCUUCCCAGCACACGGUGGCCCUUCAGGUACCCAGCUUUCAUAUUCCUUCAGACAAUUCUUUCUUUCCAACUAGCUCUUCUGGUCGCCUCUAGGAUGUCUUCUAUGAGAUACAUCCAUCCCUCUAACCAGGAGAUCAUGGUAUGCAAUGGUGCCCCUACAGGUUAAGGGCAAGCUGCUCCAAAGGCCCAGGCUACUAGAAGAGCUUUCAAGACAUGGGAACCAGUGGGCAGCGGAUGCUGUCAUUGCUUAUUUUGAAGUCACUACUUCAGAGUCAUAUUUGUUUCUUUUCAAUGCCAAUCUUAAAUGUCACACAGAGACUGCAUUUUAGAACGUCUUACCUUGCACGAUCAUGAGGUUUCUCAGACACCACAGGUUUGCGGCUUCAAAGUUAGAAUUCAAAAGGCUAUUUUUGAAACAAACAUUUGGGCGGAGGAUAUGAAAACGUAGGCUGACAAAGGUAUGGCAAGUUUUCAUCGGUUUCGCCUGCCUUUAUUUUGUAACAUUGCCGCAACGGACGCUUGUUAUGAGGAAAAUAAUUAAAACAUAUAAAAAGGGAAUAAAACCACCUUCUGUCUUCUCUACUCCUUUCCUUUGAAUGCAGUUUACCUUGACCAGGGAUGUGGUCUCCUACUGGUGUGCCAUGCUGCCACCCCAUGGGCACAGUGCCCUGGCUGUCUCCAUGGUGACAGCUACGACAGGGGUUUGAACAGGUGGGCAGACUCCUGCAUGUGUGGUCACUUGCACUCCAAAGGCAGGUUCUGAUUUCUAACCAGGCUUCUCUGCAGGACUGACAGGCAGCUCUGCAUGCUGCUUGGCCACCCUCAGCUCAGACCAUAGCAUCUGGUUUAAAAUCUUCUCCACUGCUCCCGAGGCCUUCACUGACACAUCACUGAUCAGCGGCUCUCUGUGCUGGGCUCCCUGGCCUACUCUCUUCCUUUUUACCCCUAAGCACAUCUUCAGCUGUCUGCUCUUCUUCCCAGAGGAGGCAGAGCUGCCCCAAAGGAUACUAGGUCAGAAAGACACUCAGGGUUUGAGCAACAAAUCCCCAUCUAUACAGAUACCUUGGAACAGCAAGUUCACAGUCAGCCAGGUCUCUGGUUCUGUGUCAAGUGGUACCUUCUUCCCCAACUUUGAGUUCUUGAGUCAUAGGAGUGUGGAGGACACUUACCCAACAGCCUCUCACUACAGCACAUGUCCAGGGUUCCUCCCUCGGAGUCAUCAGCAGCCUGGCUCUCUCUCUCACUCCUGUAGUGGGAGAGAAAUUGUUAGGAGAAGUUGGUGGUCCAGGAUUGAGCCCCAGCCGUUAGCAAAGACGAAGAGCUGCCCCUUCAGUAUCCCUUUGAUUCGCUCCACUUCAUCAGGAGGACCCAUGGGAAAGAACAGCCCCUAUGGCGUCAAGCUGUAGAAGAGGGGCUGGAUUUUGCAGGUGUCUCCUGUGUAAUCUCAUCAUCACCACAGCCACCACCACCACCUCCUCCUCCUCCUCAUCUUCCUCCUCCUCCUUCUCCUCCUCUUC